RNAcentral lists this long non-coding RNA (4116 nucleotides) under Sus scrofa (pig). RNAcentral's name for it is "lncRNA (ENSSSCG00000052525.1)". Lineage: Eukaryota; Metazoa; Chordata; Mammalia; Artiodactyla; Suidae. The record is from RNAcentral.
UAUACAGAUUACAUUUCCUGUGGGAGAUGUCUGUUAAAACUGAGCUAAUGCCAGUUACAGAAACUUGAGAAGAGGGCUUUCUUUACUCCAGAAAGCUUUAUUUUUGUAGUUCCUAAAUUUAGGAAUAUUUUACUUCAGUCUUUGGGUCUAAAUUUAUUUCAAUUUUUUUUUUUUUAUUUUAUGAAAUGGCUUGUAUGUAGGAUGUGAGGUGAAACAGACAAAAUCUCAUGUGUGCUGUUUGUUUGUGGCCAGAUAAUGAUUUGGCUUCAGUAAUUCCUAGUUUCCAUGGAUUUACAAUGACCUUAAUAAAAUAUGUAAAAUUGGGCCAUUGUAAGGAUUAAAUAGAAUAAUGCAUUUAAAGACAGUAGCAUAGUGCUUAAUAAUAAUAAGCUUUCUAACAAAUGUAGCUCUUAUUAUUAAAGUCUAAUUAAAAGAUUUUUUGUUUGUUUGUUUUUUUAGGGCCACACCCACAACAUAUGGAAGUUUCUAGGCUAGGGGUUGAAUUGGAGCUGCAGCUGCCAGCCUACACCACAGCCAUAGCAGCACUGGAUCUGAGCCAUGUCUGUGACCUACACCACAGUUCAUGGCAAUGCCAGAUCCUUAAGCCGCUGUGUAAGGUCAGGGGUCAAACCCGUAUCCUCAUGGAUACAAGUCUGGUUUGUUAACCACUGAGCCAUGAUGGAAACUCCAAAAGGUUUUUUUUCAAAACAUCGGCAAUGGACCCAUAUGCCUAAUUUAGAACACAAACAAGAGAAAUUUCAGAUUUGAGGAUGAUAGAUUAUGAGCUGGGGACUAUUGUUAAGUUUUAGUAUUUACAUUUCAGAUUAAUUUUUUUUUCUUUUAAAAUUUACUUCAAAAUAACUUUAUGGAUUACACAUUUAUUAUAUUUUAGUUCUGAAAGUUGUGGAUUUUGGAUUGUACUUAAUUGACUGAAUAUUUUGGCAGGCCAAAUGCCAUAUCUAAUUCUUAUUUUGAAAAUGGCUUUAGAUAGAUGAUACAUACAACUAUUACAUGCUUGUAAGUAAGUAUUUUCUUGAUGAAUAUUUCUUCUAAAAUUUUUGAGGGUGUCCUAUAUCAGUUUAUCAUCUACAGACAUUCCCAGACUUUUCCAGGACUGGAUUUUUCUAAAUCCAGCAAUUUCAUUUGACCAGUGGCCAGAAUAACCUGAUUAUACUAUGAUUUUUCUGCCAAAAAUCAAUGAACACCACUAUAUCUUGUUCAUUCUCCAUCCCAAUCACUUUAGAUAAUGGAUUUUCAUUUCUCAGGGCAGUGCUGGUUCCUUUGUAGUGUAAUCAAGUGGACACAUUCAUUUUAAAUACGGAUUUCUUUUCCAGAAGUGAACUCUCAGCUAAAGAUUGGCAUAGCAUAGUAUAGUAUAUCAUAUCUUUUAGAAGCAUUUUGAAGUAUUUUACUUAUAAUGCAAAAAAAAAUAAUAUCCCUCAACUCACAUCAAAAAAAUUGAGUAUGCAGAUGGAUUUCUAACAUAUAUUCUAGAUGGAUUUUAAUGGCAAAUAAAAAAAUGGAAUCUGAUUUACUUCUGUUUUAAUGAAGAUUUUUUUCAAGUUGCCAAUGACAUAUAGAAUUCAAAGUGACUUGAGGAAAGGAGGAAUUUAUUGAGUUUCCUAAGUGACAAACCCAACGUUAGCAAAGGUCAUAUAGUACUGGAUUUGGUACCAAAAUGAUCUGUCUCCCUCUUGGCUCCACAUAACUCCUUUAACUUCCUUCCUUCCUCCCUCCCUCCCUCCCUCCCUCCACCCCUCCCUCCGCCCCUCCCUCCAUUCCUGUCUUUUUGGCUGUACCCACAGCAUGCAGAAGUUCCCAGGCCAGGGAUUCAAUCUGAGCCACAGUAGUGACCUGAGCCACAGCAGUGACAACUCUGGAUCCCUAACCUGCUGCACCAUGUGAGAACUCCCCAGGAUAAUGUAUUUUCUAUUGUUAUUGUGUGUAGCAUUCUAUAAACAUCUCUUAGCUCACACUUGUUUUUUUAUUUUUAUUUUUUGUCUUUUGUCUUUUUAGGUCCUCACCUGCAGCAUACGGUGAUUCCCAGUCUAGGGGAUGGAUCGAAGCUGUAGCUGCUGGUCUACACCACAGCCACAGCAACACAGGAUCCGAGCCAUGUCUGCGACCUACUGGUACCACAGCUCACGGCAACACCAGAUCCCCAACCCACUGAGCGAGGCCAGGGAUCAAACCUGCAUGCUCAUGGAUGCUAGUUGGGUUCGUUAACCAUUGGGCCAUGACAGGAACUCCAGUUCACACUUGUUUAUAGUAUUGCCCAUACAUUUUAUAUUUUCAUUUUGCUGCAGUCGCCUGCUUCUAAUUAAAGCCAGCAUAUCACGCAGGAUCAUUCCCAAAACCAGACUCCAGUGAUUUCCCCUCCUGUAAAAGUUGGCCAUAGGAACUUCCCAGGAAGGCUUGGAGUAAGGGAAGGGCAGGACCAACAGAAGAGAGAACUUCCUGUUUAUGCAACUUCCUCAGGCUUCAGGAGGCACUCCAGGUGAACACCAGGUAUGCUGGGCAUAAUCUAGUUUGAGUUGCUCUCAUAACACUCAGCUCAUAAUGAACUUCUCAGUUCUUGUCUCGCAGUGUCCAGCGAUCAGAUGUUCAAGCCAAAAGCUGUAUCGCAGAAGGAGAAUUACCUUCCCAACACGGCUUGGCUUUGCUCCAGAAUUCUGAGACCUUGUUUUGAUUUCCCUCACAAAGCCAGCCGCAGUCUCAUAGAGUGUUUAAUCAUCACUGGAUCUGUUGGAUCCUGGAGGCAAAAAAUGGAAGACCUGUUUAAACAGCAGUUCAUCUCAUCUGGAAAGUCUUUUCUCUCUCAAACUUCUCUAAUAGAUGACACAUCUUCAGAUAAUUUAGUAAAGGGUACUAAGCAUUGUGGCGUUUCAGUAAGGUAGAAAGAGGCAUUUCAUUUGAUACACUGUGGGAUGUUGAAGGUCAUUUACCACCUCCUUCCCCAGAAACUUCAGUGAGGUGACAGGCCUCUAUGUUUCCCAGGGAUCUACAUUUCACCCUCUAUCUCUCCCGCAAGCAGGCAAAGUUCUUACAUUUCCUUCUGUCCAGGUCCAAGGAGUAUGAUGUCACCAGCAGAGUAAGAUGUCCUUGGGCCAGUGAUGUGACUCAAGUUCCUGUUAACUGAAGGACAGCAAAGAGUCAGAACUGACCCAGUUCUGACGUAAAAUGCUACAACAUCUUACUGUUCCUUUUGGGGCAAAGCAAAUUGCUUCUAGAGCUCUCCACUUCUUACUUAAAAGAAAAUCAUUUGUGGAAGGUGUGAAGGGCUGUGAUCCCAUAAAGCCAUCUGCAGUAGGAGUGAGAUUGUCUGACUGAGCUCAAUACAUCCACUGUUGUUUCUAGCACUCAUCUGUUUUCACACUGGCUAAAAGAAACAGGGAAGAGAGAUAGCAUAGGAGUUAUGUUUUCUUAUCUCUGCCUCUGGGGAUUGUACGGUCUGUGAGGGAAAAUAACUGUAUUUAUUUCAUUCACUGCUGUAUUCAUAACACCCCACUUGGCACUUGAUCAAAGUUUAUUAAAUUAAGGGAGUUCCCAUAGUGGCUCAGUGGGUUAAGGACCCAACACUGCAUCUGUGAGGAUGAAGGUUCAAUCCCUGGCCUCACUCAGUGGGUUAAGGAUCCAGUGUUACCACAAGCUGUGGUAUAGGUAGCAGAUGUGUUUUGAUUCAGUGUUGAUGUGGCUGGGGCAUGGGCUGGCAGCUGCAGCUCUGAUUCAAGCCCUCACCCGCGAACUUCCAUUGCCACAUGUGUGGCCAUAAAAAGAAAAAAAAAGUUAAAUUAAGGAAUAUUGAGAUAUAAAGAAAUUGAAAACUGUGUGAAGGAAUUACUAUCAAGUGGAGGAUGUUUUGAAAGGUGAAGAGCCUGAAAAUAAGGAAGCCUGGGAAAUAGGAUGAAUUAGAGAGUCAUACAGCCUUUCCAUACAGUCUCAUGUCUCUGUCUCAACCACUGUUCUUUAAUUGGUAUUAGUUUAAUACCCAUCUGUGAAAAAAAUUUUUUCUUAGUAAGAACAGAAAUCAAUUUUCUUCACCUUCUUAAAAAAUUAUAGAUGCUAUGAAAAAUAAUAGCAAAUAGUAUACUUAGCAAUGAAGCAUUAAGAUAUUUU